CGGCACAACGGUGCAGUGGUUAGCACUGGUUUCAAACCUGCUGGCUAUGUAGACUUUGCAUGUUUUCUCUUCAUGCCUCCGUGGGCUUCCUCCCACAAUCCAAAGACAUGCAGCCCUGUGACUGACUGAUGACCUGUCCGGGGACCUUGCUCAGAUUUGGUGACACUGAAUUGCCAUGAAGUGCAAAUGGUUGUCUGCUAAUUUAGGUGCCAUCGCUGUAAUUGACUUGUGACUUGUCCAGGGUGUCCAAAUAAACACCAUCAACUCA
Micropterus dolomieu (smallmouth bass) is the source of this 268-nucleotide long non-coding RNA. RefSeq lists it as uncharacterized. The transcript has 2 exons. The record is from RefSeq and is a predicted model, not a curated record. NCBI's taxonomy places the organism in Eukaryota, Metazoa, Chordata, Actinopteri, Centrarchiformes, Centrarchidae.